RNAcentral lists this ribosomal RNA (623 nucleotides) under uncultured Lachnospiraceae bacterium. RNAcentral's name for it is "bacterial SSU rRNA". It matches the Rfam family "Bacterial small subunit ribosomal RNA", at positions 97 to 738 of the family's 1533-position model. The record is from RNAcentral. Lineage: Bacteria; Bacillati; Bacillota; Clostridia; Lachnospirales; Lachnospiraceae.
GGCGGACGGGUGAGUAACGCGUGGGUAACCUGCCUUAUACAGGGGGAUAACAGUCAGAAAUGGCUGCUAAUACCGCAUAAGCGCACAGAGCUGCAUGGCUCAGUGUGAAAAACUCCGGUGGUAUAAGAUGGACCCGCGUUGGAUUAGCUUGUUGGUGGGGUAACGGCCUACCAAGGCGACGAUCCAUAGCCGGCCUGAGAGGGUGAACGGCCACAUUGGGACUGAGACACGGCCCAGACUCCUACGGGAGGCAGCAGUGGGGAAUAUUGCACAAUGGGGGAAACCCUGAUGCAGCGACGCCGCGUGAAGGAAGAAGUAUUUCGGUAUGUAAACUUCUAUCAGCAGGGAAGAUAGUGACGGUACCUGACUAAGAAGCCCCGGCUAACUACGUGCCAGCAGCCGCGGUAAUACGUAGGGGGCAAGCGUUAUCCGGAUUUACUGGGUGUAAAGGGAGCGUAGACGGUGUGGCAAGUCUGAUGUGAAAGGCAUGGGCUCAACCUGUGGACUGCAUUGGAAACUGUCAUACUUGAGUGCCGGAGGGGUAAGCGGAAUUCCUAGUGUAGCGGUGAAAUGCGUAGAUAUUAGGAGGAACACCAGUGGCGAAGGCGGCUUACUGGACGGUA